UUACAUUGGCUUUUCGUAACAUUAAUCCGAGCACACCAACGCGUCGGAAAUACCCCCAAUUAGGUUUCUAGAGGGUCAAUUGCACUUAGAAAUUCCCAUGAGCAAAAGCCCCAAUUUGGUGCCCUAGCUCCAAUACAUAUAUCAAACCUAGGGUUUGAUCUCAUUGGGAAGCAAAAGUAGCUUCAAUAUACUCUAAGGAGUUCAUCUAAACCAUUCCUAGCUCAU
This 225-nucleotide long non-coding RNA is filed under the name Ananas comosus (pineapple). RNAcentral's name for it is "long non-coding RNA (ACOM_LNC034504)". The record is from RNAcentral. Lineage: Eukaryota; Viridiplantae; Streptophyta; Magnoliopsida; Poales; Bromeliaceae.